AAAGUCGUAACAAGGUUUCCGUAGGUGAACCUGCGGAAGGAUCAUUAAUGAAAUGUUAGGAUGCUCUUUUUAGAGGUCCGACCCAAAUCAUUUUUUCAACACUGUGAACACACUGCUUUUACACCCAUUUAUAAACUCAUAAGUCUAUAAGAAUGUAAAGUCUCUAACGAGCAAAAUAAUUUAAAUAAAACUUUCGGCAACGGAUCUCUUGGCUCUC
RNAcentral lists this unclassified non-coding RNA (217 nucleotides) under Basidiomycota sp. RNAcentral's name for it is "partial contains small subunit ribosomal RNA, internal transcribed spacer 1, and 5.8S ribosomal RNA". The stretch from base 1 to 47 matches the Rfam family "Eukaryotic small subunit ribosomal RNA", at positions 1785 to 1831 of the family's 1831-position model. The record is from RNAcentral. Lineage: Eukaryota; Fungi; Basidiomycota.